RNAcentral lists this ribosomal RNA (509 nucleotides) under uncultured bacterium. RNAcentral describes it as "bacterial SSU rRNA". It matches the Rfam family "Bacterial small subunit ribosomal RNA", at positions 30 to 518 of the family's 1533-position model. The record is from RNAcentral.
CGAACGCUGGCGGCGUGCUUAACACAUGCAAGUCGAACGCGAAAGGGACUUCGGUCCUGAGUAAAGUGGCGCACGGGUGAGUAACGCGUAGAUAACCUGUCUUCAUGUCUGGAAUAAUACGCCGAAAGGGGUACUAAUACCGGAUAUUCUUGCUUUUCAUAAGUUAUGCAAGCAAAGGUGGCCUCUGCAUAUGCUACUGCAUGAAGAGGGGUCUGCGUACCAUUAGCUAGUAGGUGGGGUAAUGGCCUACCUAGGCGACGAUGGUUAGCGGGUCUGAGAGGAUGAUCCGCCACACUGGCACUGGAACACGGGCCAGACUCCUACGGGAGGCAGCAGUGAGGAAUAUUGCGCAAUGGGGGAAACCCUGACGCAGCGACGCCGCGUGAAGUGAGGAAGGCCUUCGGGUCGUAAAGCCCUGUCAAGAGGAAAGAAGUGUACAAUGGCUAAUACCUGUUGUAUUUGACGGUACCUCUAAAGGAAGCACCGGCUAACUCCGUGCCAGCCGCCGC